GCUGGCGGCGUGCUUAACACAUGCAAGUCGAACGCGAACGUUUCCUUCGGGAAACUAGUAGAGUGGCGCACGGGUGAGUAACGCGUAAGUAAUCUACCCUCGCAUUUGGGAUAACCCACCGAAAGGUGUGCUAAUACCAGAUACGUCUAUUUUAAUACCUUUGUUAUAGAGAAAGGUGGCCUCUUCAUGAAAGCUACUGUGCGGGGAGGAGCUUGCGUACCAUUAGCUGGUUGGUAGGGUAACGGCCUACCAAGGCAACGAUGGUUAGCGGGUCUGAGAGGAUGAUCCGCCACACUGGAACUGGAACACGGACCAGACUCCUACGGGAGGCAGCAGUGAGGAAUAUUGCGCAAUGGGGGCAACCCUGACGCAGCGACGCCGCGUGGAUGAUGAAGGCCUUCGGGUUGUAAAAUCCUGUCAGAUGGGAAGAAGUGUGUAUCAGUUAAUACCUGUUACAUUUGACGGUACCAUCAAAGGAAGCACCGGCUAACUCCGUGCCAGCAGCCGCGGUAAUACGGAGGGUGCAAGCGUUGUUCGGAAUUACUGGGCGUAAAGCGCGCGUAGGCGGCUAUGUAAGUCCCAUGUGAAAGUCCAUGGCUCAACCAUGGAAGUGCAUGUGAAACUGCAUA
This 629-nucleotide ribosomal RNA is filed under the name uncultured delta proteobacterium. RNAcentral describes it as "bacterial SSU rRNA". It matches the Rfam family "Bacterial small subunit ribosomal RNA", at positions 35 to 639 of the family's 1533-position model. Lineage: Bacteria; Deltaproteobacteria. The record is from RNAcentral.